Non-coding RNA from Camelina sativa (false flax), 2209 nucleotides. Lineage: Eukaryota; Viridiplantae; Streptophyta; Magnoliopsida; Brassicales; Brassicaceae. The record is from RefSeq and is a predicted model, not a curated record.
UAAACUCAGAUCCGUUUUUGGUUUUGGUUACUUGGUAUGCGGAUUCUUAGUUUUGGGGCUUUUAAGUUUUGAUGUUUGUUUUUGUUUUCUUUUUAAACCCAAAACAGAUCAUUGACAGACAUUAAUCUAAUAGUGUUCUGCCAGAUUCUAUUUUGGGGACAUUGUCCCGAGCAAAAUCGUGAACUGUUGGCUUGGUAGUGCAUGCAUGUUGGGAAUUGGAAAAGAGGUUGCGUUUUGUAGGCUAAAUAAGUCUUAAGACAAAAGACAUAGAACCAAAGAGUUCUCAAAGUUUGGUACCCUCGGCUGAUAAAAACCAUAAGACAUGAAUUACUGACCUUGCGGCUUAAUGAUUCCUAAGACAAAGACAUAAAAGAACCAAAGAGCUCUGAUUGGUACCAUUGGCUUGGAAAAACCAUAAGACAAAGGAGUCAAAAGACAUUGGAAGGGUAGGGCAUGCAUGUAAGGAAAUGAGUUGCGAUAUGUUGGAUUGAGCGGACUAAAGAAAUCUUAAGACAAGAUUGUGACUUGUUUGAUGGUAAAAAUGACCAGAAAUUGGACCAACGUAUGUGCUUCUCAAGUUACGGUGUUCAGAUUGUCAAGACUUUUGAUAGGUAUAUAUGCUUUCAAACCUUUUUAUUUUUGUUUAAGUGCUUUCCAAACUUGUUUGUAAUUAGUAUAUGAAAAUCACAAGUGAAAGACACAUACAUCAUCCUGAACUCCAAAGUGGUAGUUUAUGGUGCUUUUAUCAACCAACCCUUAAUGAUGACGCAGUUGGGAACAGAUUCCAAUUCGAGAGACUAGUUAUUAUUUUCAGUUUGAAAAUCAUAAAAAUUGCUAGCGUUUCUAGAUGAACACAUUGUGUAUUUUGAUUUACUAUUCUCUAUGUUUCAGUGCUUGUGUAUCAUAAGCUCUCUUAUUCUAUAUAGUGGAUGUAGAGUCUCUCCUAGAUUAACUUAUGUAGAUUGUGUUUGUGUUCCUUGAACCUUGAAAGUAUUUUCUUUCCUUGUGCUCUAAAACUUUGGUGAUUGUUUUAAACAUGUGAAUGACAUCCUAGGAUUUUGCAUCAUCCACUGAGUAAAGGUUGAUUUUACUUUGGCUUUGGAAACAUUAUCUUCUGUGUUGAAAAUACUUAAUAUCUCUGUUUUGGUGUUUGUAUGUAUAAAUAACUUUUUUCAUUUAAUGAAAUAGAUGCAUCUUGGGAUCUACUGUAGUUACUUAUUUUUAAAUGUCUGUGAUAGUACUGCACAUUAUGGUAAUAAUAUUAUUGAAUCUCGAAUGUCUUUGUUUUGCAUUAUGCUCUAAACCCUUGGUAGUUGUUCUAAGCAUGUGAAACUGGAAUUCUGCAUUUAUUAUAUCUAUACACUAACUGAACUAUGGUAAUAAUAUUAAUCUCGAAUGUCUUUGUUUUGCGUUAUGCUCUAAACCCUUGGUGAUUGUUGUAAGCAUGUGAAACCAGAUUAUGGAAUUCCGCAUUAUACUCUAAUGAAUAUUGUGUUAGAUUCUAUAAUUUAUACCCCUUGGCUUGAGUGUUUACUAUAUCUAUACACUAACUGAAAAUGUCAUAAAUUCUCUUGUUUUACGAAAUAGAUGAACAUAGUUGAGACUCGUGCAGAUUAUGACAGUAUUUUUGUUAAAUCAUGAAUGGAUUUGUUUCGUGUUAUGUUCUCAAUCCUUGGUGAUCGGUACAAACAUGUUAACUGACAUUCUCAAAAUUUGCAUCAUACACUUGUAUGAUUAUUAUGUUAGUUUUUACCACUUGUUGUACUCUCUGCCUUGAUCUUUUUACAACACUAGUGCCUAUCUUUUGGUCUCUUAGUCUUUGCGCUUGGAACUCUAUCGAAUGAUUGGUGUAUUUAGUUAGAAUGCAAUGUGUAUUUCUUUAUUCUGUUCUAUGCCUUUUGUUUUAAUCACACUUUUCUUUUUGAUUGAUGUCAAAAUUCAGUUGUAGCCUUUCGGUAUACAUCUAUUCCAUUUUUACCAUUCAAUUUUGGUUGUUGUUGUUGUUUGUUUGUGCUAAACGCACAACUUGAAUUUCGAUGUUAGUUUUGUUGAAAAACAUAGUUUUUGUAUUUUUUUGUAUGGUCAUGAACAUACAUAAAAUAUAAUUUUUUAGCUUUGUUGUGUUAGAUUAUAAAAUAUGUAUGGUCAUGAACACCGUUCUGGCAUUUUUGGUUGGAAAAAGAAUGAUAUAUCAUUUUGCGUUUCGAAA